This 1113-nucleotide long non-coding RNA is filed under the name Lepisosteus oculatus (spotted gar). RNAcentral's name for it is "lncRNA (ENSLOCG00000021741.1)". Lineage: Eukaryota; Metazoa; Chordata; Actinopteri; Semionotiformes; Lepisosteidae. The record is from RNAcentral.
GGUGGGACGCUGGUGUCGGGGCUACAUCGACCCGCACGCUACCUCGAACAGCUCUUCCCUUCCGAGACAAAGUCAUCACGACAAGUUGAUUUCGGCAUCGCGUUUUACUACACAAUUUCUAUUACACUUAAAAAAAAAAAACCUGAUUCUUGUCUAAACCAAAACCAAAACACAAAAUGUUUCACACUCAAACGAUAUUCCACGAAGCAACAGUUCUGGAAACUAAAAAUCACAGGUGUAAAAGAACCGUUAAACAAGAAAAAAACAAUUCUCAUAUACUGUAUACCCAGCAAAAAAAAAGAAAUAUGUAGCCCAUGUGUUUGUCUAUAAAGUUUAAGUGUAGGCUUACAGGCAGUGUACAGAAACGAUCAGCAGCAAAGGAUCUUCUGAAAUAAUUGAAAUCCUUUAUCUGCAUCAUACAUACAGAGUGCUAAAAACUAGAAGUUCCUUUGUUUUGAGAGGCAGGUAGGCUAGCAAACCCCAGAUUCGCUGAGGCUGUGAUGUGAUGUCAUGUGAUUUGGUGGGAUGGCAGACCAGCGUUUUCCCGUUCUCUUAGGGUACUGGCUCCAGUUGCUUUCUUAUUCCAGUUCCGUUUACAGGUCAGGCAGCAUCACGAGCACUGCAAUUAUGGGACAGAAUGAAAUCUUCUGCCCUUGGAUCUCAUGGGCUCCCGAUAUCUCUCCAGCCCAGAACAGGAGCCGGACUAUCAGCCCAGGGAGAGGGCUGGAAAAAGAUGAGCUCCCUCAAGGUUGGAUUGGGCCCUCCUGCGUGGAUCUGAAGCUGCUGUGGCCAUAGCUCGUCUGUUCAUCACAACCGGGAGAGACAGGGAGGAGGGAGGAGAGGAGGAAGAAGGAGAGAGGGAUGGGGACGAGUCUCUGAACAAAUGUUUGCAUCCUCUCCCACACCUGUAAAAAAAACUGGAGAGAGAAAAGGAGGUUAGUACACUAAAAACACUCUAGACACUGCAGGACAUUAACAACGACAGACCAGAUACAGCUCCUCUAGGCUGAUUAGGUAGCAGGCAAUUGAUCCAAGACUCUCGUCUAGCUGUUUCCUGAAGGAAGGCACAGUAUCAUCUUCAACAGUGUGAGUGGGUAGCUUGUUCCACUCUCC